UAUUCUGUUACUCUUAUGGGGUUAUUUCUGUCCACUGCAGCGAGGGUCAAGUUGACCGUGGUGUCAGAUUGGCCACUAAAACAAAUACGCUGCUGCAGCUGUGUAAACAUGGACUUUCGAUGGACACGUAGGCACUUGCUGGUUGCAUAAACAACACAGCUUUAUAUAGUGGGCAUGGGGAGAUGUUUCUUAGAGUGCUUCGCAGAGGGUCUGCUGCAGUCAUCCAGCUGACCUUUUCCGACCUCUCAGUUUGUUCUGCAGACGAACCUCCAGGUGAAUUCGGCCACCACCUCUCUCAUGAUUAUUCUGUGAUUGUACUAUUUCAUUAUGUGUAAUAAAUUCAUUUGUUAAUUUGAGCAUAAAAGUUUGAGUCCGUGUGAAAUCUCUGAUAAGGUCGGACCACCAAAAUACACGACAAAAUGGCGUCACGAACACAGGCCUGAGGAGCCAUUUCCAGAACCAACAUUUGUCCGGACUGGCCCGGACGCACGACCGUCGUCAUCAGUGAAGGCAAAGGAGAUUCUGGAGGAGCCAGAACCGAAAGUGAAACCAGGAGAUCUGGUGUACGUCAAAGUGUUCAGGAGAAAGUGGGACCACGCCAGACGAGAAGGUCCCUACACGGUGGUCAAAGCAACUGCAAGAGCGGUUCAAGUUCAAGGAUCCCCCACCUGGUACCACCUGAAUCACUGUGUUAAAGUACCUGAGGGGGAAAUAGGGAAAGGAGCCAAAGAAGAACGAGAUGAAGGAGGGAAAGACAAAAGGAGGGAUCUUAUUCCUCCUGUUUCUUGUAGUGACGUUGGACGGGAUGCAGAUGCCCCGCCAUCCAGGGUUCUCCGGAGACGGAAAACCAUUGAGAAAGGAGAAAGGAAAGAGGAGAGUUAAGAAAAAUGUGUUCCAAUGGCGUGAAGAAGGUGUUCCAGUGCAGGGGUGGCCAGGCCCCCUAGAUUGGGUUUCAAACGACGUCAACUGGAAGUACGCCCCGGGGGAGAUGUGGAGCGCUCAACUACAGAAAAGAGAGUGGGAUGAUAGUAGUGAGCGUACGGGUAUUUUUGUGUAUGUUAAUUCGGACCAACACGGGACAGGCUACGACUGCGGGUUAGAUUAUGUUAGGAAUGUAAAUUCCAGUAAUUUUGUUCUCUUUCCCAGGGGAGUAGGAAGGUGCGCCAUUGGAGUAAAGGAAAGUGAGCGGAAUGGAAGCAAGUUCUGGGAUGUUAAAGUAGCAUUCCGGCCACCUCAAUGCCGUUUGGACCAGGACAGGCCAUGAAGAGGCUGAGGUCGCUGAGGAUGGAGGUGAAAGAGGCGGCUGGCAGCGAUGCGAACUUGAGCUGGACAAACUGGCUGGAGAGUGUGGCCGGAGGAUGGAGACAAGGGCUGAUCAAACUGGGGGUAAUGAUUACUGUAGGAGUAAUAGCUUUGGGACUGAUUUUUUGUUGUUGUAUUCCUUUCUUGAGAUCAGUAGCGCUUAGAGCCGUGACCAAGCAGAAUUUGCAGAUGGCAGUUAUUGAGCUGGGAGAAAAGUAUGGGUGGAAGAGUGUAGGAAACGAGGAAGGUGACGUGUUUCCAGUUCCGGAAUGGAUCCACAUCACGACUCUAGACGAGGACAAGGACGAAGAAAAGGACGAGGAUGAAGACUCCCAGUUGGUGUGAUGGUGAAAACGGCCUACGAUACGUCAUGAAGGAAGAAAAAAAAAAAAGAGACUAAUCAUACUGAAAAUAAGCUAAGAUGGUUGUUUAAUGAAUUUUAAUACUGAUGUUUUAUUAGUUGUAAUAGUCAGAUUUAUCCUUGUAUUAAUAGUAGUAUUGGAAAUGUAUCAUAUUCUUGUGGUAGCAGUAGUAUUAAAAAUGACAUAGUAGUAACCACCUUAUAUAGGUCUCAUGAUUCUGUGUAUUGUUUCAUUGUGUUUAAUAGACUUAAUAGACCUGCUAUGAGGGUCUAAGUGUGUGAAACUUGUCAGUAAUUUGUUUUUGUGUUCUUUUUUUUUAGGGGGCCGGUACUGAAUUCACCUGUGAAACGUUCGGAGGUCAUCAAGCUGGCUGCCCUGAGAAGUCCCAUAGGAACAGUAUGAUGAAUUUGGCCAUAUUAAGUGAAAUGCCCACAUUGCUAAGGUUAAACAAAACGUAAAAUGGGGUUGGGACCUUGCUAGUGCUUAUCACUGGUUUAAGGUAGUUAAAGUAAAUUGGGCUUAGUUUAAUGGACAUUAUCUGUCCAUUGAGGGGGAAAUUCUGUAGUAUAUUCUGUUACUCUUAUGGGGUUAUUUCUGUCCACUGCAGCGAGGGUCAAGUUGACCGUGGUGUCAGAUUGGCCACUAAAACAAAUACGCUGCUGCAGCUGUGUAAACAUGGACUUUCGAUGGACACGUAGGCACUUGCUGGUUGCAUAAACAACACAGCUUUAUAUAGUGGGCAUGGGGAGAUGUUUCUUAGAGUGCUUCGCAGAGGGUCUGCUGCAGUCAUCCAGCUGACCUUUUCCGACCUCUCAGUUUGUUCUGCAGACGAACCUCCAGGUGAAUUCGGCCACCACCUCUCUCAUGAUUAUUCUGUGAUUGUACUAUUUCAUUAUGUGUAAUAAAUUCAUUUGUUAAUUUGAGCAUAAAA
Betta splendens (Siamese fighting fish) is the source of this 2595-nucleotide RNA transcript. RefSeq lists it as uncharacterized. Lineage: Eukaryota; Metazoa; Chordata; Actinopteri; Anabantiformes; Osphronemidae. The record is from RefSeq and is a predicted model, not a curated record. The transcript is spliced from 3 exons.